AUUAUUGAUCUAUUUAGCAAGUGGGAACGAGAAGCAAGCAUGCGUACAGAGGAAGCAGGGCAUAGAAGCAAGCUGUUGGGUUUAAAAUCAGUAACAGUGAUCAUGGUGAUGGUGGAGUUUUUGGAUGUGGGGUUGAACAUUUUGAGCAAAGCAGCUAUGAAGAAAGGGAUGAGUAAUUUUGUCUUUGUUGUCUAUGCGAAUGCCCUCGCCCUCUUUGUCUUGCUUCCAUCUUCCUUCUUCUUCUACAGGAGAAGAACUUAUCCACCCCUCUCAUGGUCCUUCAUCUGUAAACUGUUCCUUGCUAGCUUUAUGAGCUCUGGUGCGCAGCUGCUAAAGUUUAUUGGAAUAAACUACAGCUCUCCAACUAUGGCCUCUGCAAUGAUUGAUCUCAUGCCAGCUUUUACCUUCAUUCUUGCUGUCAUCACUGGGAUGGAAAUUCUGGAUUUGAGAAUUACCAGUAGACAGGCCAAGUGCAUAGGCACAGUGGUCUCAAUCUCAGGGGCACUCAUGCUGACCUUAUACAAAGGCCUACCACUCAUAAGGGCCGAUGCAUCACAUAGUAAAUUAAUCAGUCUGCAGCUUCUUUUAUCCUCUCAAACGAACUGGUUCAUUGGAGGCAUUGUGCUUGCAUUUCAAAGCUUCUUGCUAGCAAUGAUGCAUAUUGCAGAGACAUGGGUUAUUAGGGACUACCCUGCAGUGCUGAUGGUUACAACGAUUCGGUGCAUGGAAGCUAAAGCCUGACAUUGAACUCAUAGCUAUUGGGUACAAUGCAACUUUUGAAGUAAUGCUAAGGACUGGUAUUCAUUUGUGGGCACUGAAUAUAAAGGGUCCUGUUUAUGUUGCCAUGUUCAAGCCGCUUGGUUUAGUCAUGGCACUUUUCGUUGGCGUGGCAUUUCUUGGAGAUACUCUUUAUCUUGGAAGGUUGCUGGGAGCGGCUAUAACAGUGGUAGGGUUUUAUGCCGUAAUUUGGGGGAAAGCCCAAGAAGAGAAGGAGAAGGCUCAAAUUGAUCAAACUGGAAGCUUUGAGUCAUUUCCUCAAUCAGAAGCAGAACCUCUUUUGCCUAAACGUUGUAAACAAGGCACUGAGGAGAAAAGUCUUUUGGAAAGAGUUUUUCUUAUUAAAUAGUUGAGAUGAUAUGUUGUGAAACCACAAAAAAAUUCUAUUUUUUUAUUUGAUAUAAGAGAUAACGAAGUAAGUAGAAUCGAACACAAUAUGUGUAACGUGGAUAAGUAAACAUUCUAGUAGUAACAAAAAAAUUGGAAUAAAGUCCAACUUUUAUUGGAGUGAGGUGAAA
Molecule: RNA transcript, 1295 nt
Organism: Prunus dulcis (almond)
Lineage: Eukaryota; Viridiplantae; Streptophyta; Magnoliopsida; Rosales; Rosaceae
Gene name: WAT1-related protein At3g28050-like
Exons: 7
Source: RefSeq, a predicted model, not a curated record